AUUGAACGCUGGCGGCAGGCCUAACACAUGCAAGUCGAGCGGAUGAAGGGAGCUUGCUCCUGGAUUCAGCGGCGGACGGGUGAGUAAUGCCUAGGAAUCUGCCUGGUAGUGGGGGAUAACGUCCGGAAACGGGCGCUAAUACCGCAUACGUCCUGAGGGAGAAAGUGGGGGAUCUUCGGACCUCACGCUAUCAGAUGAGCCUAGGUCGGAUUAGCUAGUUGGUGGGGUAAAGGCCUACCAAGGCGACGAUCCGUAACUGGUCUGAGAGGAUGAUCAGUCACACUGGAACUGAGACACGGUACAGACUCCGACGGGAGGCAGAAGUGGGGAAUAUUGGACAAUGGGCGAAAGCCUGAUCCAGCCAUGCCGCGUGUGUGAAGAAGGUCUUCGGAUUGUAAAGCACUUUAAGUUGGGAGGAAGGGCAGUAAGUUAAUACCUUGCUGUUUUGACGUUACCAACAGAAUAAGCACCGGCUAACUUCGUG
This 484-nucleotide ribosomal RNA is filed under the name uncultured bacterium. RNAcentral describes it as "partial 16S ribosomal RNA". It matches the Rfam family "Bacterial small subunit ribosomal RNA", at positions 30 to 507 of the family's 1533-position model. The record is from RNAcentral.